RNAcentral lists this long non-coding RNA (1045 nucleotides) under Olea europaea (common olive). Its description in RNAcentral is "long non-coding RNA (OEUR_LNC001236)". The record is from RNAcentral. Lineage: Eukaryota; Viridiplantae; Streptophyta; Magnoliopsida; Lamiales; Oleaceae.
AGACAUGGACCUAAAUUCAGUGAGCAAUCAAAUACAUUGACCUAAGUUCGAUUACCAAAACUAGAUAUUUUAAACUUCAUUGACCAAUCAAAGAUGUGGACCUAAAUUCAGUGACCAUUGGAACAAUUAACUCGGAUAGAUGAUAAGUCAAGCAAAAAACGUUGGCUUUGUUUAAACUAUCCGUUCCAAGCAGACUCAAAUAACACUCGAGGGCCUGGAGGUUUGAUUUUUAUGCUCCAACCUAGCUUGAGCUUUAAAACAUUAACCUCAGUAAGCUUGACCUGAGCUGAACCCCUUGUUUAUAUUGGUUGAACUUAAGCUUGAGUCCUAUAUUUGCCGAAGCUAGUGUGCUUGGCUCAUUUGCGCAUUCGUAUUAAGUCUGAUUUCUUUGUUACAUAUAAUUCGUGUUUUCUAAAAAUAUUCCAUCCAAAAUGCUCUUAUGAACCCCUUUCCUGCUUCGAAAUUAUUUUAACUUGACUGAUAAAACCAUGUUCAAGCAUGGUUUAAAUUUUCACAUGUGACGAGGCUCUUAUGUUAUACCCACUAUUUCUCUCCCCAAACAUAGAAAUGAUAGAUAUGGAAAUUAAAUGUCCAUCCACAGCCUGUGCAGUACAAAUAGAUAUUGGAAAUGCACUUGGUUUAAGCAAUGUUUAAUGUAGAAUAUUAUGUCUGAACAUAUUUUGUACAUGAAAUGCAUGUUUGCCUAUUUAGGUUGACUUAUUUGCUAAUUGCAUCUCCUAGAAAAACCUAUAUAAACAUUCCAUUGAUUUGUUUUAUAUGUAUUUAAAUUCUACUUGCUUUCAUAUAGGAUAGAACACUUUCUAUUUUGUGGUCCAUGCUAUUCUUUAACUUAUUUCUUGAAAAAUGAGUUUGGAAUAAACAGAAUUUUGCUCCAUUUUCCUUGUGUAUCACGUGUACAUUUUUGUACUUUUUUAUGAUAUUUUAAGUUUCCUCAUCUUCAAUUUACAGGGUGGGUGUUCAUGUGUCAUAUUUUGCAUUUAAUUUAAAGAUGAAAACUUAUUCCACAGAUUUAUGGCAUGCACUU